GACGAACGCUGGCGGCGUGCCUAAUACAUGCAAGUUGAGCGAUGAAGAUUGGUGCUUGCACCAAUUUGAAGAGCAGCGAACGGGUGAGUAACGCGUGGGGAAUCUGCCUUUGAGCGGGGGACAACAUUUGGAAACGAAUGCUAAUACCGCAUAACAACUUUAAACAUAAGUUUUAAGUUUGAAAGAUGCAAUUGCAUCACUCAAAGAUGAUCCCGCGUUGUAUUAGCUAGUUGGUGAGGUAAAGGCUCACCAAGGCGAUGAUACAUAGCCGACCUGAGAGGGUGGUCGGCCAAAUUGGGACUGGGACACGGCCCCAACUCCUACGGGAGGCAGCAGUAGGGAAUCGUCGGCCAUGGACGAAAGUCUGACCGAGCAACGCCGCGGUGGUGAAGAAGGGUUUCGGAUCGUAAAACUCUGUUGGUAGGGAAGAACGGUGGUGAGAGUGGAAAGCUCAUCAAGUGACGGUAACUACCCAGAAAGGGACGGCUAACUACGUG
This 497-nucleotide ribosomal RNA is filed under the name uncultured bacterium. RNAcentral describes it as "partial 16S ribosomal RNA". It matches the Rfam family "Bacterial small subunit ribosomal RNA", at positions 28 to 507 of the family's 1533-position model. The record is from RNAcentral.